CGGACGGGUGAGUAAUGUCUGGGAAACUGCCCGAUGGAGAGGGAUAACUACUGGAAACGGUAGCUAAUACCGCAUAACGUCGCAAGACCAAAGAGGGGACCUUCGGGCCUCUUGCCAUCGGAUGUGCCCAGAUGGGAUUAGCUAGUAGGUGGGGUAACGGCUCACCUAGGCGACGAUCCCUAGCUGGUCUGAGAGGAUGACCGGCCACACUGGAACUGAGACACGGUCCAG
This 231-nucleotide ribosomal RNA is filed under the name uncultured bacterium. RNAcentral's name for it is "partial 16S ribosomal RNA". It matches the Rfam family "Bacterial small subunit ribosomal RNA", at positions 99 to 334 of the family's 1533-position model. The record is from RNAcentral.